RNAcentral lists this ribosomal RNA (253 nucleotides) under uncultured bacterium. RNAcentral's name for it is "partial 16S ribosomal RNA". It matches the Rfam family "Bacterial small subunit ribosomal RNA", at positions 524 to 776 of the family's 1533-position model. The record is from RNAcentral.
UACGGAGGGUGCGAGCGUUGUCCGGAAUCAUUGGGCGUAAAGCGCGCGUAGGUGGCUUCGUAAGUCCGUUGUGAAAGUCAAAGGCUCAACCUUUGAAAGCCGAUGGAUACUGCGGAGCUAGAGUACGGAAGAGGCGAGUGGAAUUCCUGGUGUAGCGGUGGAAUGCGCAGAUAUCAGGAGGAACACCAAUAGCGAAGGCAGCUCGCUGGGCCACUACUGACGCUGAGAAGCGAAAGCAUGGGGAGCGAACAGG